Molecule: ribosomal RNA, 497 nt
Filed under: uncultured bacterium
Lineage: Bacteria
Description: partial 16S ribosomal RNA
Rfam family: Bacterial small subunit ribosomal RNA
Source: RNAcentral
GAUGAACGCUGGCGGCGUGCCUAAUACAUGCAAGUCGAGCGAACGGACGAGAAGCUUGCUUCUCUGAUGUUAGCGGCGGACGGGUGAGUAACACGUGGAUAACCUACCUAUAAGACUGGGAUAACUUCGGGAAACCGGAGCUAAUACCGGAUAAUAUUUUGAACCGCAUGGUUCAAAAGUGAAAGACGGUCUUGCUGUCACUUAUAGAUUGAUCCGCGCUGCAUUAGCUAGUUGGUAAGGUAACGGCUUACCAAGGCAACGAUGCAUAGCCGACCUGAGAGGGUGACCGGCACCCCUGGACCUGAGACACGGUCCAGACCCCUACGGGAGGCAACAGUAGGGAAUCUUCCGAAAUGGCGGAAAGCCUGCCGGAGAACCGCCGCGUGAGUGAUGAAGGUCUUCGGAUCGUAAAACUCUGUUAUUAGGGAAGACCAUAUGUGUAAGUAACUGUGCACAUCUUGACGGUACCUAAUCAGAAAGCCACGGCUAACUACGUG